GCGGAGGAGGCCCCAGUGCCACAGCCCAGGGCCCCCGAGAGCUCUGGGAGCCCGGGGCAAAUGCUAGAAAUUUGCUUAGAACGUCCGGGUCCCACGGAAGGCGCCCUUGCCGCCCUCUCUCGGGUCGUAGCUCCCUGACGCUGGGGCGCAACCCCUUCGCUCCUCCUCCCCGCUGGCCGCGGCCGGGCUUCCCCAGCUCUUGCUGCUUCGGGCCUGUGACUUCUGCAACCCCGGGCUGGGGGCCGCGGGGUCUCAGGGCCGGUGACGCCGCACUGGGAGCCGCCCCAAAGAGGUUACUCACCUCCCUCGUCCCGCACAUUAUUCUGACCCAAGAGCCUCCACCCCACACGGGAUUUUGCGCGUCGUCCACGCCCGGCCGGCGGCCUUUGCUGCUCCCAGCCCUGCGCGGCUUUGGUCCCAGCCUCGGUGGCCCCUGUGCCAAACCGGGGACAGGCGGAAGGGAGUCUCCUAGGGACCCUAAGUAGCCUGGGGCCAACAACCCCUUUCCUCUCUGCUCUCCCCUCAAAACAAGUUUCAGGAUCUUGCAGGCCUCGCGGCGUCGUUCUUCGUUGUGGCGGCCUGUGGCUCUUUGAAAAACACGACGAGGCCUGCAAAAUGCGUUUUUCUUUUUUUCCUUUACGCAUGUAACCACGGUCCUGCAUCGUGAAACGGUACGCGCGUCGGUGGCAAAAGAAAAACAGCAGUGGCUGCAAAGCUAAGGGCCCUCGCUUUCAGAGGAGAGAAUUUUCUUUCUCCAUGCGGGUGGAAAGUGGCCUCUGCGGGUCCAACCCCACUUCUUCUUGGGCCCGUGCGCUCCGGCUGCGCCGCAGGGACCGCGGACAGCUUCGCCAAGGCACUGCCUGCCCGCCCGGCUCCGGGUCCCCGCUCCCACUCCCAGCCGCGUGGCCCAACCUCUCCUGGGCUUCACUGCAAAUCACCCCUUCCUCUCCCGCCUCCUAAGUCUGUCGAGCAGACCUAGGGGCCGGCUACAGUUGGGAGGGCAACGGGAAAGAUCAAGCCACAAUCAUUCCGAAUUAUCGCCCCAGACACCUCCCUAGACUCUGGGGAACGAACGCGUGCUGAGCCUCCCCGCCGCUUUGGAGACGGGGCUAGAUUUUCGUUGCCUCCGGCUCUCGACAGGUGCAAAACAAUGAAUUCCAAGCCUCGGAAGCAAAGAAGCUUAGGAUCCGACGGUGGCCGCAAGAUCUCAUCAUGGAUCUGACCCCUGCUCAGCGCGCGCCAUUUCGUCGUUGCCAAACGAAAUCAAGCCCCGCGUGCGCUCCAGGGGCGAAGGACUCUGGACUCACCCCGACCACCGGGAGAGCUGGCCCCUACCCACCUCGGGACCUCACAGCACGCCCUCAGGCCGUGUCGAAAGGAAGGACGGCAAAGGUCCCUUACUGAACCUUUUAAGAGAGCCUGCGCCUGGCAGUUGUCGAUUGCGGACCCAGGCCCGCGCGCCCUCGGACGCGCUGGCACGAGCAGCAGAACUAGAGGAAAGCGAGUGAUCCAGCCUGGGCGCUCCCACCUCCGGGAACGUCUCCGAGAAGGCGCAGCGCGUCGUGGCCAGUGAGAAGGGCUGAAUAUCACCUGUGAGCCUGCCCCUGCUCCCAAGAACACCCUUUGGACACCUGUGGGCUGAAAUUUAGCAUCAUAUUCCAUGGCGAUUUUCCACCAGUGGAAAUCACAGGUGUUCUCUGGUAUCACAGCGGGGUCAGGGAUGACCUGAAAUAUUGUUCAUGCUCAUCACAACUGCAUGGCCCACCGCGGGGUCUUGUCACUCAGUGAGUUCUUGAAGAGGCACAGACAAAUGGAGUUCAACAAAUGGAAAACAACUGCCUUUAAUUAGCUCCGAGGACUACAAAGGGAACAACGUUAUAAUAGCAGCAACUCCAAGGAAGCAGCCACAGCUCUCAGCUCUCAGACCUGGGGCUGCCGCUCAUCAUCAGCUACAGCUAGGUUUGAUGGGAGUGCCCCCAUUUCAGGGGACAGCAGGCCCCCUUCACUCCCCGACUCAGUCCCCAUCUGCAGCAGCACAGCCUUCCUUGGCCUCACCAGGGAAGAAGAACAGGCCCCGCUCUCAGACAAGCCUUCCCAGAAGCCUGAGGACUCAAACACCCAAAUGUGUCUGGGUCCCUGCCCCGAGCCGGCCACCCAGGCAGCAGCCCUGAAUCACUCGGUCAGCCAGCGGCAGGGCAGGCCAAUGGGCUGGAGGGUAGGCAGGCAGGCAGACCCACCUCUGCAUCUCUGCUGACUGCCUCGGCUGAGGAAAGGCAGCACCAGCCCCCAACCCUGAAGUUCUAGAUCUCAUGCAGCCUCUCUGUUCUGGAACCAUCCAGAGGCACUGCCCUUAUACAUGGUCCACCCCCAGGCUCAGACAAUGAGAAUUCCACAAGCAGAGGGGACUCUAUUUGGGGCACAGAGAGGUUAAGUAACUCCCCUCCUAAGGUCUCUCAGCAAGGAAGCCACUGAGCCGUGGGACUUGAGCUCAGGGACUCUUGAUCCCCAGUCUCAGGUGUCACAGCCCCAUCUGGGCUCCUGCUAGGGAGGAGGAAGGCAGCAGGGGGUGUCUGAGGCCAGGGUGCAUCAGCCCUAAAUGCCAGACAGAGGCAGGAGAAGUCUCCCCAUGAGUCCCAGCCCCAUUAGAGGCUCCAGGUCGGGGAUCCCAGACCCCCUAUCCUUGCUGGGAGACACAACCCAGAACUCUGCAUCCCUGCAGCCACCAAAAAAGGCAAAAGCUGCCCAGAAACACUUUCUCCUCUUCCGUGGCCAAAUCCACGAACUUUCUCGAGGUCUGUCCCCCUGCCCCGUGCAGGUCCAGCUUCAGUGCAGCCCAGCUCUGUGCAGUUUUCCACAAAAGCCUGUGGCUUCCUUCUCCUCCCUCUGCUUCUGAUACCCCAGGAGUUACACACAAAAUGUUGGCGGUGGUCUCCAGGAAGACCCCUGCAUCCCACAGCUCUCCCCAGAAGUUGCCAGCAGUGACCUCCUGAGCCCAGGUGGGGAGUCCCAGGCAGGACAGGGGCUGGGGCUGCAGGCCCUGGGGCCCUGUUAGUGAAGCAGCAAGCCGAGGGUCCCUGAGAGUUUCCCUUGGCCCCUCUGAGGGCUGCCCUUUGAGGUCUUGAGGUCUUGGAGUAUCCAUCGCCCCCACGGCUUACUGUCCCCACCAGCGGAGGAUGAAAGUGCCACAGCGAUGUUCCACGCCAAGAGACCACAGAGACCACCAACCCCUCUUCCCACCUCAGGCUUUCAGAGGCCAGCGGAUUUAGGCGGACAGGCUGUGCGCUUGAGGGCAGCCAGGGCGGUCAGUGGAGGGACGUGGUCCGGGGCCUGGCCACAGCUCCCCACCCAGGGCCCUGGGCUAUUGUUACUCACCGCGGAUGAAGGUCGGCGAGUAGGUCGGGAAGGAGUCGAAGAUGCUGUUCGAUGCCAUGCCCCGCUCUGAAGAAGGCGAGAAUUUUCAGCCCUUCAGGGGGUUGGGUUGGGAUUCACUUGGUUGGCUGUUGUUUUAUUUUUUUUUCCUCUAGCUACUUUUGAAAAUAAAAGGGGGGGGUGUUGCUUUUUGUUGUU
RNAcentral lists this long non-coding RNA (3567 nucleotides) under Homo sapiens (human). Its description in RNAcentral is "RUNX3 antisense RNA 1, transcript variant 3 (RUNX3-AS1)". The record is from RNAcentral. Lineage: Eukaryota; Metazoa; Chordata; Mammalia; Primates; Hominidae.